AUAGAUUUUUUAGAAAAGUGACAAGAAAGGAACGAGGCCAACCCAAAUAUCCUCUUAGAAGUAAACCAUCACCCAAUUUGAAAGAAGUACAAUCCCAAAAUACAUUCAAAUUUUUGCUAAUAUCUCUCCAAAUUGGAAAUGCAGUUGAUAAAGAUUUUCUUCCCUUUAGCUUAAAUUUUCUUCAUGGGUAACAUGCACAUCUAACUUAUACAGUCCAA
This 218-nucleotide long non-coding RNA is filed under the name Elaeis guineensis (African oil palm). RNAcentral's name for it is "long non-coding RNA (EGUI_LNC040507)". Lineage: Eukaryota; Viridiplantae; Streptophyta; Magnoliopsida; Arecales; Arecaceae. The record is from RNAcentral.